CAGUAGCCACGGUAAUACAGAGGGUGCGAGCGUUAAUCGGAUUUACUGGGCGUAAAGCGUGCGUAGGCGGCUUCUUAAGUCGGAUGUGAAAUCCCUGAGCUUAACUUAGGAAUUGCAUUCGAUGCUGGGAAGCUAGAGUAUGGGAGAGGAUGGUAGAAUUCCAGGUGUAGCGGUGAAAUGCGUAGAGAUCUGGAGGAAUACCGAUGGCGAAGGCAGCCAUCUGGCCUAAUACUGACGCUGAGGUACGAAAGCAUGGGGAGCAAACAGGAUUAGAUACCCGGGUAGUCCAUGUCUCUUAUAC
Molecule: ribosomal RNA, 301 nt
Filed under: uncultured bacterium
Lineage: Bacteria
Description: partial 16S ribosomal RNA
Rfam family: Bacterial small subunit ribosomal RNA
Source: RNAcentral